This 630-nucleotide long non-coding RNA is filed under the name Androctonus crassicauda. The record is from RNAcentral. Lineage: Eukaryota; Metazoa; Arthropoda; Arachnida; Scorpiones; Buthidae.
CAAGAGUUUUGGAAAAAGUAUCAAUCAGAUUCCAGCCUUAGUGAUGGUGUGAUGUGGAAUCAGUUGCAUGGAAAGGUGAGGUUACACUUUGUACCACAGAAAGUGAACACAAAGAACAUGGAACUACAUGGAAGAAAUUUUAGAACCAAUUGUAAAGCCACUGAACAUUGAUAUUUUCAACCAUAUCAACUAUAUCUUCCAACAAGAUUUUGCUCUGUUACAUGAGAUCAAUGUUAUCCAGAGCCCAACUUUAUCUCCAAUGAAGAAUGACCACUGCAUCUCCAGUUUUGAUUCUACUAGAUUAUGGAAUAUAGUCAAAAUCAGACCUGUAGUUAUGUGCAAAACCCUUCAGCAGUAUCAAUGAUCUGAAGAGAAAGCCCUCCUUUGGAAAUGGAAGAAUUUCCUUUAGAGAUUUGUGUAAAACAAUAGAUGAACAGCCAGAGAGAUUACACAAUUGCAUCAAAGCAAGAGAAGAUACCUUUGUGUGACCAAUUUAAUUUUAAUUUGUGUAUGUAUGUGUUUUUUAAAUAUCCUAAAAAAUUAUUAAAUUUAUUCUUGAAUAAAAAAAAUGAUGUAGCACAAUUUGUUUGCAGGAAUUUAUGAUCAUACUAAAUAUUUAUUAGCGGCUCG